ACUCAAAGGAAUAGACGGGGACCCGCACAAGCAGUGGAGUAUGUGGUUUAAUUCGAAGCAACGCGAAGAACCUUACCAGGUCUUGACAUCCCCCUGAAUAGUUUAGAGAUAAGCUAGGCCUUCGGGACAGGGGAGACAGGUGGUGCAUGGUUGUCGUCAGCUCGUGUCGUGAGAUGUUGGGUUAAGUCCCGCAACGAGCGCAACCCUUGAUCUUAGUUGCCAGCACGUAAGGUGGGCACUCUAGGAUGACUGCCGGUGACAAACCGGAGGAAGGUGGGGAUGACGUCAAAUCAUCAUGCCCCUUAUGACCUGGGCUACACACGUACUACAAUGGCCGGUACAACGGGAAGCGAAAGGGCGACCUGGAGCCAAUCCUAAAAAGCCGGUCUCAGUUCGGAUUGCAGGCUGCAACUCGCCUGCAUGAAGUCGGAAUUGCUAGUAAUCGCGGAUCAGCAUGCCGCGGUGAAUACGUUCCCGGGUCUUGCACACACCGCCCGU
RNAcentral lists this ribosomal RNA (498 nucleotides) under uncultured bacterium. Its description in RNAcentral is "partial 16S ribosomal RNA". It matches the Rfam family "Bacterial small subunit ribosomal RNA", at positions 899 to 1397 of the family's 1533-position model. The record is from RNAcentral.